Molecule: ribosomal RNA, 301 nt
Filed under: uncultured bacterium
Lineage: Bacteria
Description: partial 16S ribosomal RNA
Rfam family: Bacterial small subunit ribosomal RNA
Source: RNAcentral
CAGUAGCCGCGGUAAUACGUAGGGUGCAAGCGUUAAUCGGAAUUACUGGGCGUAAAGCGUGCGCAGGCGGUUCGGAAAGAAAGAUGUGAAAUCCCAGGGCUCAACCUUGGAACUGCAUUUUUAACUACCGGACUAGAGUAUGUCAGAGGGAGGUGGAAUUCCACGUGUAGCAGUGAAAUGCGUAGAUAUGUGGAGGAACACCGAUGGCGAAGGCAGCCUCCUGGGAUAAUACUGACGCUCAUGCACGAAAGCGUGGGGAGCAAACAGGAUUAGAUACCCCCGUAGUCCCUGUCUCUUAUAC